Molecule: long non-coding RNA, 492 nt
Organism: Alosa alosa (allis shad)
Lineage: Eukaryota; Metazoa; Chordata; Actinopteri; Clupeiformes; Clupeidae
Exons: 3
Source: RefSeq, a predicted model, not a curated record
ACCACCCUGUCUUAUUCAAUUACAGGGAGGGGUGGGGGAGGGGGUGUAUGAGUAUAAUGCGACAGAAAUUCACAUGGACACACUUCCACAGCUCAGCUGGUCCUCAGGCUGCCUAUGCCAUCAUAUAUUUCAGUGGAGCAUCAGUGACAACUCGGGACUCUGUGAAGUGUAAUUUUCAUGAGAAGGACCAGUGUGCUAAAGAAGACUGGGGGAAUGACUAGGCCCUAACACUAUCCUCCUCCAAAAAUAGCCUGCUGUGGUAUUCCAAAGCACCACCUGCCAGACUGGCGAGUGUUGGGGACAGUUAUGUAAGUGUUAAUCCACCAACCCAAGCAACAGGAUCCAGUGGGGAGUGGCGACACAACACUGCAAACUGAAUGACGGGGAAACCUCAUGUCCAGAUAAAUCAUGUGUGUGACCAUUGUAUACAACACAACACACACACACACACACACACACACACACAAACACACUUGUACAUAUUCUAUUCAU